Molecule: ribosomal RNA, 253 nt
Filed under: uncultured bacterium
Lineage: Bacteria
Description: partial 16S ribosomal RNA
Rfam family: Bacterial small subunit ribosomal RNA
Source: RNAcentral
UACGGGGGGGGCAAGCGUUGUUCGGAAUUACUGGGCGUAAAGGGCUUGUAGGCGGCCAGCUAAGUCAGACGUGAAAUCCCUCGGCUUAACCGGGGAACUGCGUCUGAUACUGGAUGGCUUGAGUUCGGGAGAGGGAUGCGGAAUUCCAGGUGUAGCGGUGAAAUGCGUAGAUAUCUGGAGGAACACCGGUGGCGAAGGCGGCAUCCUGGACCGACACUGACGCUCAUGAGCGAAAGCGUGGGGAGCGAUCCGG